AUUGAACGCUGGCGGCAGGCCUAACACAUGCCAGUCGAACGGUAACAGGAAGAAGCUUGCUUCUUUGCUGACGAGUGGCGGACGGGUGAGUAAUGUCUGGGAAACUGCCUGAUGGAGGGGGAUAACUACUGGAAACGGUAGCUAAUACCGCAUAACGUCGCAAGACCAAAGAGGGGGACCUUCGGGCCUCUUGCCAUCGGAUGUGCCCAGAUGGGAUUAGCUAGUAGGUGGGGUAACGGCUCACCUAGGCGACGAUCCCUAGCUGGUCUGAGAGGAUGACCAGCCACACUGGAACUGAGACACGGUCCAGACUCCUACGGUAGGCAGCAGUGGGGAAUAUUGCACAAUGGGCGCAAGCCUGAUGCAGCCAUGCCGCGUGUAUGAAGAAGGCCUUCGGGUUGUAAAGUACUUUCAGCGGGGAGGAAGGGAGUAAAGUUAAUACCUUUGCUCAUUGACGUUACCCGCAGAAGAAGCACCGGCUAACUCCGUG
Molecule: ribosomal RNA, 490 nt
Filed under: uncultured bacterium
Lineage: Bacteria
Description: partial 16S ribosomal RNA
Rfam family: Bacterial small subunit ribosomal RNA
Source: RNAcentral